CUACGGGGUGCUCCAGUGGGGAAUAUUGGGCAAUGGGCGAAAGCCUGACCCAGCAACGCCGCGUGAAGGAAGAAGGUUUUCGGAUCGUAAACUUCUAUCCCAGGUGAAGAUAAUGACGGUAGCCUGGAAGGAAGCCCCGGCUAACUACGUGCCAGCAGCCGCGGUAAUACGUAGGGGGCAAGCGUUGUCCGGAAUGAUUGGGCGUAAAGGGCGCGUAGGCGGCCUUCUAAGUCCGAUGUGAAAGUCCUGCUGUUAAGGUGGGAAUUGCAUUGGAAACUGGAGGGCUUGAGUGCAGGAGAGGUAAGUGGAAUUCCCGGUGUAGCGGUGAAAUGCGUAGAGAUCGGGAGGAACACCAGUGGCGAAGGCGACUUACUGGACUGUAACUGACGCUGAGGCGCGAAAGUGUGGGGAGCAAACAGGAUUAGAUACCCCAGUAGUC
Molecule: ribosomal RNA, 439 nt
Filed under: uncultured bacterium
Lineage: Bacteria
Description: partial 16S ribosomal RNA
Rfam family: Bacterial small subunit ribosomal RNA
Source: RNAcentral